RNAcentral lists this unclassified non-coding RNA (146 nucleotides) under soil metagenome. Its description in RNAcentral is "partial internal transcribed spacer 1". The record is from RNAcentral.
UAAUAAGUGUUUUAUGGCACUUUUUAAAUCCAUAUCCAGCCUUGUGUGCAAUGUCAGUCGAUCUUCUUCAUGGAGAUCGACCAAACAUCAACCUUUAUCUUUUAACUCUUUGUCUGAAAAAUAUUAUGAAUAAACAAUUCAAAAUA